UACGAAGGGGGCUAGCGUUGCUCGGAAUUACUGGGCGUAAAGCGUGCGUAGACGGUUGCGUAAGUCAGAUGUGAAAGCCCCGGGCUCAACCUGGGAAUUGCAUUUGAGACUGCGUAGCUAGGGUGCGGAAGAGGGAAGCGGAAUUUCCGGUGUAGCGGUGAAAUGCGUAGAUAUCGGAAGGAACACCAGUGGCGAAAGCGGCUUCCUGGUCCAGCACCGACGUUCAGGCACGAAAGCGUGGGGAGCAAACAGG
This 253-nucleotide ribosomal RNA is filed under the name uncultured bacterium. Its description in RNAcentral is "partial 16S ribosomal RNA". It matches the Rfam family "Bacterial small subunit ribosomal RNA", at positions 524 to 776 of the family's 1533-position model. The record is from RNAcentral.